RNAcentral lists this long non-coding RNA (381 nucleotides) under Apteryx owenii (little spotted kiwi). RNAcentral's name for it is "lncRNA (ENSAOWG00000017606.1)". Lineage: Eukaryota; Metazoa; Chordata; Aves; Apterygiformes; Apterygidae. The record is from RNAcentral.
GAACAGCAGGGCCGCAUGGUGUCAUAAUGAUCGCAGUGCCACUGGGAGAACAUUCUUUGAUUUAAGCUUUUGGAAAUCAAGAGAGGGAUUUCAUUCAGUGUCUCCCCCAUCCCUAUGUGGAAGUUUUUGAUUUAUUCCUUGAGUGACUGCUCUCUCUGGACGGGCUCUCCCUUCCCCUCUCCUGAAAGAAGGAAAAAAUAAGGAAAAGAGGAGCAAGGAAAAGAAUGAAUGCUGUCAGUGACUUGCUUUGGCUCGUGGUGUCCCUGGAGCCUUUAGCCCUCAGCGACUGAUGACAGUUCCCCUCCUGUGAGUGCGUUCAGCUCUGAGACCUUUCUUACAGCAGUCACUGGAGCAGUUUAUAUGGGCCAGCAGCUAGGUGAG